UAUUUUUCUUCUCCCAAAUUAGCCCCGGACAUUUUUCCAGGCAAGAUCUUUCGGACUGCAGGAACAAUAAUGGAGGGUAGUGACCUGGAGUUAAAAUGUAGUACACAUGGACGCAAAGAUGAACAAAAAAAUGUACAUGUUUAUUUGUGCAAGAAUGGUGUUGCUUUUGAAAAAAUCAUGAAUAGAAAAGAUGAUACUAUUUUCACCCUGAGAAAUAUGGACAGACAACAGAGUGGUAAUUACAGCUGUGUUCUCUAAUAACUUGUACACACUCUCUGAAGUCCGAGAGAAAGGGGACAAUUCCAUUUAUAUCCAGGUCAUUGAUCGGAUUCUCCCUGCAGUCAUAUCAAUAACAGGCUCAAACACAGCAAAACAGGGAGAUGAUGUGGAGUUUAAGUGUACUAUUUCAGACCCCAUACUUACCAGCGAAUUAGUUCACUCUUACCUCUGCAAGAAUGGAACUCAUGUUCAGGUGCAGGUUUUUGAUGUUUAUAGAAUGGAGGCAACUUUUACUAUUAAGGAUGUUAAACUGAAUGACAGAGGGAACUACAGCUGUGUGCUUGACCUGCAACCAAAACGCAAUGAAUUUACAGAGAGGCAAUUAUAUGGAAGCAAUACAGCAUUUCUUCAGGUUGAUGUGUGGAGUUAUCAAAUCCCAGUGGUCAUGUUCUGUGUCUGUCUUCUGCUGGUCUUUUUACUGAUUGUGGGCAUUUACUGGCUGAUCAGAAAACAAGGUCAGAACCAUGUAAUUCUGUCCGUAAUAUGUGUACUACAAUUCGGAAUUAUAAUCUAUAUACUACUUUCUCUUUUGUCAGGGGUUGGGAAUCUGUGUUGUAGAAGAACACCACCAAAUGAUGUUCAAUUAUCAGAUGAAAGGGAAAGUAACAUUUCAAACAUGGAGGAAGAAUCCUGUGAUGAAUUUGACAGUUUGUCAGAGGAAGAUAUCUCAUACCAAAAUGUUCCGGAUUUAACACAGACCAAUGAUAUGAUAGAAGAUCCAGGACAAGGUGAGUUUAGUGUGUAAAAAUAUAUUUUAUACAGUUAGCUUAUUUAAGGCUUUUGGAUUUUUGUGUGUGUCAGGCCUGGGCUGAAAACCUCUAGGUAAAAUACACUGUUUUUCAUAAAUUACUGUAUAUACUAGUUUCCAUCUUUUAAUCUCCAAAACAGAGGCUGAUGACACAUACCAAGAUAUUUUGGUAAGCUGUUCAUUCCAAUAAUCUUUGGCUAAUGUUUACAAAUCAUUGUUAUAAUUCUCUUAGGUAUAGAUGCUUUCACGUCUACACUGAAGUUCUACCUCCUUUAAAUUUCCACAUUAUUUUCAUUUCAUUUUUUCAGGAUUUUACCAGGAUCAAGCAUACAGUUGAAGUUCCAUGUCAAGGUGAAUUCAAUGUUUUAAACUAUAUUUUCCACAGUUAGCAUAUUGAAGGCUUUUGGAUUUCUGUGUAUGUCAGCCCUUUAUGUCCAGAGGCGGCUCUUGGCAGGUGGUGUAGUAGAGCAGGACCAAAUGGUGACAGAAUAUUCAACAGACAAGUAUUGUGAUUUUGAAAGCAAUUACAAUUAUUGCUCAAAGAAAUAAAACUUAUACUACUCUUUUGCUCUGUUAACAUGCAUGGCAAUAAUAAAUAAUACUGGCAGGUGGAAAUCAUGGGUUUAGGAUGGUGGCCCAGAAAUGCCAAACACAACCGCUAAUACAAGUACAUCCCAGAAUGCAAAAACUUACCACUAAUACGAUGAUACACUCCCAAUAGAAAUGAUUCUCCCAAUAAUGCUAAAUAUAACCAAUAUUAUGAUUACAUACUCCCAAUUCACAGAGAACAAUACCCCUUCCCCAAAUAUGAACGCACCGCCGCAAUACCGCAAAAAUGUACCACUAGUAUGAUGACACAGUCCCCAUUGAAUACAUGGCCAUUUCUAUAUAAUUUCAUUGUUUUAACUGUACAAUGGCCCAUGGGAGUGUUUUUAAGUGCUUGCUAUUUUUUGUCCUGUUACAAUUAUCUUUAUUAAGGAUUUGCACAACCAGUGCACCAUGGC
This is a long non-coding RNA of Esox lucius (northern pike), 2031 nucleotides long. Lineage: Eukaryota; Metazoa; Chordata; Actinopteri; Esociformes; Esocidae. The record is from Ensembl.